This 1799-nucleotide long non-coding RNA is filed under the name Homo sapiens (human). RNAcentral describes it as "non-protein coding lnc-DOC2A-2:1". The record is from RNAcentral. Lineage: Eukaryota; Metazoa; Chordata; Mammalia; Primates; Hominidae.
AGUUUGACACCUUCCUUUUAUCCCGAGAAGGUCCCUUGGAAGACACUUCAGGAAGGCAGGAUGGCAGGACCUGGUUCCCUUCAUCCUGCCUGUGCCUGCUCCACACCUCUGCUCCCCAGAGUAGAUGGGAGGGGAGGUCUUUCUAAACAAAAAUGAUAUCUAUGUAAAUAUAUGUAGUUUCAGGCUUGCACCUGUUAUUUCUUUUGUUUUCUUUUUUAAUGGAACAACAAUCGCUUUGGCUUUAUUUUGUUUUUUCAACAAAUGUCAUUUUAAAGUUCCAAAUAUCUUGACAACCCCCUCCCUUCCUUUUUCCAAGUUCUGGGUGCUGAGGAGAAACAUCAACCUCCCUUUCUGUCUUCCAACCUGUCCCUCUGAGGCAGGCAUGACCCUGCUGUUCGCAGUGGGUUGCGUCUUCUUCCCGUUGUGCUUCACUGCCCUGCGCUGGGGCUUGCAGAACCACACCAACCUGCAGAUGGAGAGACAAGAGGCUGUCCUGGUAGCAUCCAAGUAAGAGGACCAGGGUGAGGGUGUCCUUCCUGGGGCCAUGGCUGGUGGAACUGAUCUUUUACUUUCAGAAUGAGUUUGUGGUGAAAGCAGAAGCAGAGUGUGGAGUGGAGCUGGAAUGUGGAGUCAAAAGACACCAGCAGGCUGGGCGUGGUGGCUCACGCCUAUAAUUCCAGCACUUUGGGAAGCUGAGGCUGGUCUCAAACUCCUGAUCUCAGGUGAUCUGCCCACUUUGGCCUCCUAAAGUGCUAGGAUUACAGGCAUGAGCCACCACGCCCAACCUCUUCCAAUUCUUGAAUACUGAUAAGUAACUAAGAAUUUAUUUAAGAACUACUAUACUGACAACUGCAUACUGGCCAAACAAAACAUGUCUGUGGGCCGGAUUGGGCCCUUGGGCUGCAGAUCUAUGACCUGUGUGACAAAGCUUACCAUAAAAGUGCAGUAUCAGCAAACCACAGGAGGCGUAGGAGGUACACGGAACACAGAUUUUACUAGGGUGUCUACGUGGAUUCCCUGGCAGACAAAAAAAGCCUGUCUCUACUCAUCCAAAGUGAAACCACAGUUCCAUGACCAGCCUUGUAGUCCUCAAUCGAGUAGUUACGGUGGCCGCCCAUCACCCAGCCUCCCCAGCCUCUGUCCUUUUUGCAGUUUUGCUCAUGAGUGGCUUUGGGGUUAUGCAACUAUGGUUUUUUGGUUUUUCUGUUUUCUUUUAAGAUGGAGUCUCGCUCUGUCGCCCAGGCUGGAGUGCGAUGGCACGAUCUCGGCUCACUGCAACCUCCGCCUCCCAGGUUCAAGCAAUUCUCCUGCCUCAGCCUCUCAAGUAGCUGGGACUACAGGCGCAUGCCACCAUGCCCGGCUAAUUUUUUGUAUUUUUAGAAGAGACGGGGUUUCGCUGUGUUAGCCAGGAUGGUCUCGAUCUCAUGAUUCGCCAGCCUUGGCCUCCCAAAGCGCUGGGAUUACAGGUGUGAGACACCUUGCCCGGCUGCAACCAUGGGUUUGAAACCCAGCUUUCAUCCGGGCGUGGUGGCUCCCACCUGUAAUAUCAGCAUGUUGGGAGGCAGAGGUGGGUGGAUCGCUUGAGCCCAGGAGUUUGAGACCAGCCUGGCUAACGUGGUGAAACUUCAUCUCUACAAAAAAUACAAAAAUUAGCUGAGCAUGGUGGUGUGCGCCUGUAGUCCCAGCUACUGGGGAUACUGAGGUAUAAGGAUCAUUUCAGCCCGGGGAGGUUGAGGUUGCAGUGAGCCAUGAUCGCGCCACUGUACUCCAGCCUGGGGGACAGAAUGAGACCCUAUCUC